RNAcentral lists this ribosomal RNA (348 nucleotides) under uncultured bacterium. RNAcentral describes it as "bacterial SSU rRNA". It matches the Rfam family "Bacterial small subunit ribosomal RNA", at positions 8 to 350 of the family's 1533-position model. The record is from RNAcentral.
AGAGUUUGAUCAUGGCUCAGGAUGAACGCUAGCUACAGGCUUAACACAUGCAAGUCGAGGGGCAGCAUGUUGGUUGCUUGCAACCAACGAUGGCGACCGGCGCACGGGUGAGUAACGCGUAUCCAACCUACCCUUGUCCAUCGGAUAACCCGUCGAAAGGCGGCCUAACACGAUAUGCGGUUCACAGCAGGCAUCUAACGUGAACGAAAUGUAAAGGAGAAGGAUGGGGAUGCGUCUGAUUAGCUUGGUUGGCGGGGUAACGGCCACCAAGGCUACGAUCAGUAGGGGUUCUGAGAGGAAGGUCCCCCANAUUGGAACUGAGACACGGUCCAAACUCUACGGGAGGCA